RNAcentral lists this ribosomal RNA (263 nucleotides) under uncultured bacterium. Its description in RNAcentral is "partial 16S ribosomal RNA". It matches the Rfam family "Bacterial small subunit ribosomal RNA", at positions 355 to 609 of the family's 1533-position model. The record is from RNAcentral.
UAGGGAAUCUUCGGCAAUGGACGAAAGUCUGACCGAGCAACGCCGCGUGAGUGAAGAAGGUUUUCGGAUCGUAAAACUCUGUUGGUAGAGAAGAACGUUGGUGAGAGUGGAAAGCUCAUCAAGUGACGGUAACUACCCAGAAAGGGACGGCUAACUACGUGCCAGCAGCCACGGUAAUACGUAGGUCCCGAGCGUUGUCCGGAUUUAUUGGGCGUAAAGCGAGCGCAGGUGGUUUAUUAAGUCUGGUGUAAAAGGCAGUGGCU